RNAcentral lists this ribosomal RNA (447 nucleotides) under uncultured bacterium. Its description in RNAcentral is "bacterial SSU rRNA". It matches the Rfam family "Bacterial small subunit ribosomal RNA", at positions 329 to 793 of the family's 1533-position model. The record is from RNAcentral.
GUCCAGACUCCUACGGGAGGCAGCAGUGGGGAAUAUUGCACAAUGGGGGAAACCCUGAUGCAGCAACGCCGCGUGAAGGAAGACGGUUUUCGGAUUGUAAACUUCUGUUCUUAGUGAAGAAGAAUGGCGGUAGCUAAGGAGCAAGCCACGGCUAACUACGUGCCAGCAGCCGCGGUAAUACGUAGGAUGCGAGCGUUAUCCGGAUUUAUUGGGUUUAAAGGGUGCGCAGGCGGAGGUGCAAGUCAGCGGUCAAAUUGCGGGGCUCAACCCCGUACUGCCGUUGAAACUGCAUCCCUUGAGUGCGCGAGAAGUAUGCGGAAUGCGUGGUGUAGCGGUGAAAUGCAUAGAUAUCACGCAGAACUCCGAUUGCGAAGGCAGCAUACCGGCGCGCAACUGACGCUCAUGCACGAAAGCGUGGGUAUCGAACAGGAUUAGAUACCCCAGUAA